UACGUAGGGGGCAAGCGUUAUCCGGAUUUACUGGGUGUAAAGGGCGCGCAGGCGGCCGAGUCCGUCGGUGGUUUAAUCUCCAGGCCUAACCUGGAGGCGUCUACCGAUACCACUUGGCUUGAGGGCGGUAGAGGAGCACGGAAUUCCUGGUGUAGUGGUGAAAUGCGUAGAUAUCAGGAGGAACACCUGUGGCGAAAGCGGUGCUCUGGGCCGACCCUGACGCUGAGGCGCUAAAGCGUGGGGAGCAAAC
RNAcentral lists this ribosomal RNA (250 nucleotides) under uncultured bacterium. RNAcentral's name for it is "partial 16S ribosomal RNA". It matches the Rfam family "Bacterial small subunit ribosomal RNA", at positions 524 to 773 of the family's 1533-position model. The record is from RNAcentral.